This 253-nucleotide ribosomal RNA is filed under the name Anaerobutyricum hallii. Its description in RNAcentral is "partial 16S ribosomal RNA". It matches the Rfam family "Bacterial small subunit ribosomal RNA", at positions 524 to 776 of the family's 1533-position model. Lineage: Bacteria; Bacillati; Bacillota; Clostridia; Lachnospirales; Lachnospiraceae. The record is from RNAcentral.
UACGUAUGGAGCAAGCGUUAUCCGGAUUUACUGGGUGUAAAGGGUGCGUAGGUGGCAGUGCAAGUCAGAUGUGAAAGGCCGGGGCUCAACCCCGGAGCUGCAUUUGAAACUGCAUAGCUGGAGUACAGGAGAGGCAGGCGGAAUUCCUAGUGUAGCGGUGAAAUGCGUAGAUAUUAGGAGGAACACCAGUGGCGAAGGCAGCCUGCUGGACUGUUACUGACACUGAGGCACGAAAGCGUGGGGAGCAAACAGG